GUGACAGUUAUCGGGGCUGAAGUGCAGGAUAACGUUUUGCACCCAAUUAGCGUGCGUCCUGCGUCAAACUUUACAGACCCACACUGCAGUGCCCUUUCUGAAAUACCUGACGUGAUUUUUAUUUAUUUUUUUUUGGUCAUUUCUGUCAGUGCAAUGAAGAGCGAAACCAGACCCAGAGCUUAAGCCACAUGUAGUGCCUUAAACCACCUCACCACAAGGGCAAGGGUGGCACCGAGAGGUCUCUGGCUGCAGGCCACCCGCACGGUGUCUGCUCCUCGCUGAGAGGAAAACUACCUGGCACAGCCAUGCUAGGAUGAUGUUGUGCCGGCCCAGAGCUCGCCUGCUGCCGUGCAGCUCCAAGGAGCAAGAGCGCACGUGGAGGGGACCAGCCUCCGUCCUUCAAGAGCCUGCAGGCAUUUGGGCAAAGUCUGCUCUGCAGCAUGCACAAGAAGUCAGCCAUGGUGACAGAAUAAAUUCCAUGAAACCGCAAGACAAAAUCAAGAGAUGGAAAACUGAAUGGAAGAAUUUCAUCGAAACCCCACUUGAUCGCCGUCUCCUGCAUUGCCUGCCUUAACCACUGCGUGCCGUGGGGCCUCCCAGCAGGGAGCCUCUCAUGCUCCAACUCAUCCUCCUGGGAUGGGAAUGCUGCCUGCAGGAACCAGUACAAGUUCUGUCCUGCUUAAGAAAAGGAGCAGACUGGGAAGAACCAGAAUCAGGUGCCAUCAUUGUGCCAUGGAAUUUUCCUCAGCAAGACAUCUGCCCUUCACAGACUUGGACAACACAGACAUGGAAAGAAAUAUGUCUGCAAUUGUAAAGACAGAGUGAAUGAAGAACAAAGAACAUCCCUUGCUAGCUUUCAUUUGGCUAACACAGGCCUGAACAUCACCUCGUUCUCAAGGAGCAACCCCAUGCACUAGAUAAAGCCUGACACAGUAUCUCUUCAUGAGGAGAACAGUUCAGGACUGUGCCUUUCCUUAGCUGUGACCUCAGCAGAUGCACUUUGUGUUGCAGAAAGAGGAUGUGAGAGAGGGCACGUGCUCAGGGCAUAGUACGCUUGGCACUGGUGAGUGAUAAUCCAGCAUAAAUUACUGUCUAAUUGAACUGGUUUUGCCAUUUGGAUUUCACACAUUUCAGCAAGGUGUGCAAAUGGUGGGGAAGGGAGGCCAUUUUAUUUGUUGUAUUUUUUUGAUUGCAAAGCCUGAGUGUUGGCCUUAUGUCUGUUCUAGUGAAUUGGCACUGCACACACACACACAGACUUGGAUUUCCUUUAUGAAUAGCUGAAAUUCCAGUCUUGCCUGGCACAAGGGUAAGUUUCACAUAAAGAACAGCCUCUGUGGAGAGUUUUUGAAAAUAAAUCAAAAACCUGAGAGACUGAGAAAAAUUCUGAGAAUUGGAGAUGUGACAAACCGCAUUGCCCAGCUUCUUACUGGCACGGUUAGGAUACGACUCUCAUCCACACAAAUGUACAGUCCUAGACAAAUUCCACAGCUGGCACUCAAACACCCAAGUAAGCUCUCUGCAGGAGAGCAUGUCUGUACACACAGCCAUUUGGCCACCGUGCAGUACUGCUCAUAAGCAGUACGAAUACACGCAUAUGGGCUUCUCUAGUUCCAUACAUUCAUCCUCGCAAUCACAAGCUGGGUUCCACAAGCACACAGGCCCCGCUAGCUUACAGAGU
Molecule: non-coding RNA, 1678 nt
Organism: Anas platyrhynchos (mallard)
Lineage: Eukaryota; Metazoa; Chordata; Aves; Anseriformes; Anatidae
Source: RefSeq, a predicted model, not a curated record